Molecule: non-coding RNA, 220 nt
Organism: Pelobates cultripes (western spadefoot toad)
Lineage: Eukaryota; Metazoa; Chordata; Amphibia; Anura; Pelobatidae
Source: the annotation of a GenBank genome assembly
GCCGUGUGACAGAACCAUCUGUCUGUUUAUUGCUGAUGGAUUAGUCUAUUUUGCCCUGUUCGUGUAAAUGGCUGGUUCCUAUAGCCCAGCCAUACGAAUGACCGUUUUCCUGAACAAAACUACCGAACGGAUGGCCACCCAGAAAAGAAGUGUGCUGCUGGUUAACCUAUUGAUCCCAAUUAGAACGUUGUGGUUAACCACAGACACUUCUCAAUUAAAC